RNAcentral lists this ribosomal RNA (253 nucleotides) under uncultured bacterium. RNAcentral describes it as "partial 16S ribosomal RNA". It matches the Rfam family "Bacterial small subunit ribosomal RNA", at positions 524 to 776 of the family's 1533-position model. The record is from RNAcentral.
GACGGAGGGGGCUAGCGUUGUUCGGAAUUACUGGGCGUAAAGAGCGCGUAGGCGGUUUGGUAAGUUGGAAGUGAAAUCCCGGGGCUUAACCUCGGAAUUGCUUUCAAAACUGCCAGGCUAGAGUGUAGUAGGGGAUGAUGGAAUUCCUAGUGUAGAGGUGAAAUUCUUAGAUAUUAGGAGGAACACCGGUGGCGAAGGCGGUCAUCUGGGCUACAACUGACGCUGAUGCGCGAAAGCGUGGGGAGCAAACAGG